This 2152-nucleotide ribosomal RNA is filed under the name Salmonella enterica subsp. enterica serovar Oranienburg. Its description in RNAcentral is "partial 23S ribosomal RNA". It matches the Rfam family "Bacterial large subunit ribosomal RNA", at positions 1 to 2167 of the family's 2925-position model. The record is from RNAcentral. Lineage: Bacteria; Pseudomonadati; Pseudomonadota; Gammaproteobacteria; Enterobacterales; Enterobacteriaceae.
GGGUUGUGAGGUUAAGCGACUAAGCGUACACGGUGGAUGCCCUGGCAGUCAGAGGCGAUGAAGGACGUGCUAAUCUGCGAUAAGCGCCGGUAAGGUGAUAUGAACCGUUAUAACCGGCGAUUUCCGAAUGGGGAAACCCAGUGUGACUCGUCACACUAUCAUUAACUGAAUCCAUAGGUUAAUGAGGCGAACCGGGGGAACUGAAACAUCUAAGUACCCCGAGGAAAAGAAAUCAACCGAGAUUCCCCCAGUAGCGGCGAGCGAACGGGGAGGAGCCCAGAGCCUGAAUCAGCAUGUGUGUUAGUGGAAGCGUCUGGAAAGGCGCGCGAUACAGGGUGACAGCCCCGUACACAAAAGCGCAUGUGCUGUGAGCUCGAUGAGUAGGGCGGGACACGUGGUAUCCUGUCUGAAUAUGGGGGGACCAUCCUCCAAGGCUAAAUACUCCUGACUGACCGAUAGUGAACCAGUACCGUGAGGGAAAGGCGAAAAGAACCCCGGCGAGGGGAGUGAAAAAGAACCUGAAACCGUGUACGUACAAGCAGUGGGAGCACCCUUUGGGGUGUGACUGCGUACCUUUUGUAUAAUGGGUCAGCGACUUAUAUUCUGUAGCAAGGUUAACCGUAUAGGGGAGCCGGAGGGAAACCGAGUCUUAACCGGGCGUUAAGUUGCAGGGUAUAGACCCGAAACCCGGUGAUCUAGCCAUGGGCAGGUUGAAGGUUGGGUAACACUAACUGGAGGACCGAACCGACUAAUGUUGAAAAAUUAGCGGAUGACCUGUGGCUGGGGGUGAAAGGCCAAUCAAACCGGGAGAUAGCUGGUUCUCCCCGAAAGCUAUUUAGGUAGCGCCUCGUGAAUUCAUCUCCGGGGGUAGAGCACUGUUUCGGCUAGGGGGCCAUCCCGGCUUACCAACCCGAUGCAAACUGCGAAUACCGGAGAAUGUUAUCACGGGAGACACACGGCGGGUGCUAACGUCCGUCGUGAAGAGGGAAACAACCCAGACCGCCAGCUAAGGUCCCAAAGUCAUGGUUAAGUGGGAAACGAUGUGGGAAGGCCCAGACAGCCAGGAUGUUGGCUUAGAAGCAGCCAUCAUUUAAAGAAAGCGUAAUAGCUCACUGGUCGAGUCGGCCUGCGCGGAAGAUGUAACGGGGCUAAACCAUGCACCGAAGCUGCGGCAGCGACACUCAGGUGUUGUUGGGUAGGGGAGCGUUCUGUAAGCCUGCGAAGGUGUGUCGUGAGGCAUGCUGGAGGUAUCAGAAGUGCGAAUGCUGACAUAAGUAACGAUAAAGCGGGUGAAAAGCCCGCUCGCCGGAAGACCAAGGGUUCCUGUCCAACGUUAAUCGGGGCAGGGUGAGUCGACCCCUAAGGCGAGGCCGAAAGGCGUAGUCGAUGGGAAACGGGUUAAUAUUCCCGUACUUGGUGUUACUGCGAAGGGGGGACGGAGAAGGCUAUGUUGGCCGGGCGACGGUUGUCCCGGUUUAAGCGUGUAGGUGUGUGUUCCAGGUAAAUCCGGUUCACUUUAACACUGAGGCGUGACGACGAGGCACUACGGUGCUGAAGCAACAAAUGCCCUGCUUCCAGGAAAAGCCUCUAAGCAUCAGGUAACAUCAAAUCGUACCCCAAACCGACACAGGUGGUCAGGUAGAGAAUACCAAGGCGCUUGAGAGAACUCGGGUGAAGGAACUAGGCAAAAUGGUGCCGUAACUUCGGGAGAAGGCACGCUGACACGUAGGUGAAGUGAUUUACUCACGGAGCUGAAGUCAGUCGAAGAUACCAGCUGGCUGCAACUGUUUAUUAAAAACACAGCACUGUGCAAACACGAAAGUGGACGUAUACGGUGUGACGCCUGCCCGGUGCCGGAAGGUUAAUUGAUGGGGUCAGCGCAAGCGAAGCUCCUGAUCGAAGCCCCGGUAAACGGCGGCCGUAACUAUAACGGUCCUAAGGUAGCGAAAUUCCUUGUCGGGUAAGUUCCGACCUGCACGAAUGGCGUAAUGAUGGCCAGGCUGUCUCCACCCGAGACUCAGUGAAAUUGAACUCGCUGUGAAGAUGCAGUGUACCCGCGGCAAGACGGAAAGACCCCGUGAACCUUUACUAUAGCUUGACACUGAACAUUGAGCCUUGAUGUGUAGGAUAGGUGGGAGGCUUUGAAGUGUGG